AACGAACGCUGGCGGCAUGCCUAACACAUGCAAGUCGAGCGAGACCUUCGGGUCUAGUGGGGCACGGAUGCGUAAAGGGGGGGAAACUACCCUUGGGUUCGGAAUAACUCCCCGAAAGGGGUGCUAAUACCGGAUCAUGUCUUGGGACCAAAGAUUGAUCGCCAUUGGGGGGGCGCGCGUUGGAUUGGCUAGUUGGUAGGGUAAAAGCCUACCAAGGCGACGAGCCAUAGCUGGUCUGAGAGGAUGAUCCGCCACACUGGGACUGAGACACGGCCCAGACUCCUACGGGAGGCAGCAGUGGGGAAUAUUGGACAAUGGGCGAAAGCCUGAUCCAGCAAUGCCGCGUGAGUGAUGAAGGCCUUAGCGUUGUAAAGCUCUUUUACCCGGGAUGAUAAUGACAGUACCGGGAGAAUAAGCUCCGGCUAACUCCGUG
Molecule: ribosomal RNA, 433 nt
Filed under: uncultured bacterium
Lineage: Bacteria
Description: partial 16S ribosomal RNA
Rfam family: Bacterial small subunit ribosomal RNA
Source: RNAcentral